CUCUAUCCAGGGGGUGGGUGCUUUGCUGGGGGCAGGCAUAGGAAGGCUAUUGGGGUCAUCUGCUCAUAACGACAGUUGAAUACCACUGCUGGAGAGGUUUCUGGGUGGAUUCCCACCACCUGAAGAACUGAAGAGGAGUCUGUGCUGGAGAGUUUAUGAAGGGACCCCCAAGCUAAACAUCCAGCAGGCCUCCUGCUCAUCACUGGAACACCAGGAGCAGAAUGGAUGGAUGAGAUUAGCACAUUGUGUUAAAAACAUAUUUUUCUUGUGUGAUGCAUAGUCUUUCACAGCUUUCUCAUCCCAUGGAGUAGUGCCCAGAAGCUGAUGUUAUGCCGUUGUUAUUGGGAAGGAGUGGGUGUGGGUGUGUGUGUGCAAGGGGCAGAACAGAUAUUGUUGACAAUUCCUCAUGUUCACUUACUUUCUUCCCAGCAGUGUAAUUCUCCACCUUUUUCCUUGUCCUUGGGCUUCACGCAUCGAAAGAUUUUUCAGUUUUGGUCUGUGACAUUAAAUUUCUCCAUGCUUAUUCUGAAGCAGCCAUGUCUGCAGAGGCUGGGUGACUCAUCCUGUCUGUAAUCAAUGGCUCGGGAGGCCACAGAUGCUAUCAGUGUUAUUGAGAGCUGCAGAUAAUAACUGAGCCCCGUGUGAUGCUGCUGCAGGUGUGUGGCCAGGUCAAGACCCCCACAAGUGGAGCUGCUUGUCCAAAAGAUGUUGUUGUCCAUAGAUACCCCAUGAGUAGCUGAGGAACCUGUGGAUCAACAGCAGAGCUGGGAACGUGAGCUAAAUCUGAGGCUCUUCAGGGAUAUACUCUGUGAAAUAUAACAAUAGAGGUAUGUGCCACUGAUCAUCUCUGGACUGCAAGCAUGCUGGACCUUGAAUCCAAUCUGCUGCAGCUUCUCAUGAUUCCCCUCCCAAGUGACUGAGUCAAGCAGAUGAACUAAAGUUUCCCAGCUGACCAAAGCACCACGAGCUACCCUCUGAGCAUGUCAGCUGAAGAGCAAGAGCUGCACCAGUGUUACUGAAAAUAGGGAUGCUGGAAAAGAUGUGCUCCCUGAAAACAUGGUGGAAAAGAUACUGCAUGCUCAACCUGGACAAAAAAUCAAGGACUGAAACACAACAUUUAAAAAGAGGCUGUACCACUGAGUUGUAUAACAGAGGUAAGAUAUUUUCAGUCAGUUGUCUUAUGACAAAGUAAAGUGGUCUUUGCUGUUCAGCCUCACCAUUGUGCAUUUGUACAAAAGUUCUCUAUCUUUUAAGUUGUGUCUCUGAUAAACACAGUUCAAUUUUAUGGUAUUUCUGACAUUUUGAUCCACCAGUGUACCCGAGCUUAAAAAUUAAAGAAAUAGUGAUAGAAGCAAAAGGCAGAUAGGACAGCUUUUUUUUUCUUUUUUUCUAGACAGAAAUAGAGCUGAAAGCCCCAAAGAUGCUAAGCAACCUAUUCUGUAGCACAGACAUUAUUAUUACACAGAUAACCUGCCAGCCAUUGCAAUCAGAUUUCUAGCAGUUAUAAUUGACAUCAAAUUCUGGUAUUGUCAAAUCUCUCUGACACAGCUGUUGUGCAGAAUGUCCUCAGCUUAAGUGUGUCAUGCACUACUUAAAAAAAAAAAAAAGUCCAAGUUUAAAAAUGCCUUUUAAAGUACUGGGACCAUCUUCUGCUUCCACUUAAAGACAGCCCUGCAUCCCACUUGUUUUAAUGGCCAAGCCCUGAGCCUGCUGCCAUUCGUCAAAGUUGGCCAGUGACCUGAACUGCAGAAGGUGAGCACUCAGAGAAGGCUGAGCCUCAGGAGACACCACAACUGCCUUGUUUUGAGUCAGCUGCUUAUGGUUUGUUCUUCUGAGCUGCUAAUUGCCUGCCUGUUCUCCCUUUGGGUUUGCAUAUCACUUCCUCAUGAGGACACAGGGCCAGAGAAACCGUGCAAGGGUACUGUCUUCCACACAGCAGCAACAAGCUGCAGCGAGAUGCAGCAAGGAAGAGCCUCUCCAUCAGGCCGAUGACAUAGCAUGAGGAGACAUCGCUCUGUCACAGCCCAGCCAUCUGCAAGUUGGCAAGAGCAGCUGAGAAAGAAAAUGUGUUCCUGUCCCAGUAGUCCUUUUACCAAAUUACUCUCGUAUUCAUCUACACGAUCGCUGCCACUGGAGGAAUCCUGUACUGCUGCUGCUGGGCCUGCAGAGAACAGGGCAGCAGCCAAGGGUUAAUUUGCUCCUAGAACAAGGUGACUUGGCUAGCAUUUGUUAAAAUACCACCUGGGAGCAUGGGGCAGGAAGGGCAGCAUGACCUUCCUGCUGCCAUAUUGACUGCCUGAGCCGAACCAUCCCAAAACACUGGUUUCAGUUACACAGGCUGUGAGGGGCUGCAGGGUACAAGCAACCUGGGGUGAGGCUCAGCAGGCAGCAGCAGCCACACUGGGGUACCUGUGACUUCAGCAGGAUGGAAGGUCAGCAAAGCUGGAGCACUGCACCACCAAACACCCCCUUGGCACUCACAUCCUUGAUGAGCUCUUUGGAAUUAGCAGCCUAAUUAGAAGAGUGUGGGAUUUACUGCUCUAGUCUAGAUACAGGACAUCAACGGCCCUGGGGUAAGGAGAUGGAAGAGAUCUCCUUCAGACCAUCACUCAUGAAUGCAUGCAGAUUUAUCUGAAAGUGCUGAAGAAACAAUAAUCUAAUCAGUGUUUGCAGCAGGCUCUAAAUCUGUUUGUUUAAUUACAAGCUGGGACAUGACCCUUUUAGCAGUGGAUGCUCCUUGAAUUCUGUGGGAAAAGGGAAAGAAAUGAAAGGUUUCCCUUUUUAGGGAGCAGGGUAGCUGAGCAGAAUAGGUGACAACGGGGAACGUUGUUUUUGUGGUAACCUGCAACCUGUCUGAAAGCCUGUCUGCACAGCCAUUGGGACAUACACUGGGCAAAUCAGUGUGGAAGUGAUCUCCUCAUCCUCUGCUGCUCUUGUAAGGAAUGAUUCCUGGGCUUCUGAUGGCAAGCUUAUGGAGGCAGAGCUCUUCCCUCCACAGAUUGGGCAGGCAGUGCUGCCAAACUCAGGCUCGGCUCAGCCAGGACCUCGCCAUGCCACCACCCACCACCUUUGCUGACAGUGAAGAAAGAUGGGACCUGCCCCUAAGGAAGCGCUUGGAGGCAGACACUGCUGAGUGAGCUCUUUUUCUGCACACCAGAAAUUGCCUCUGCUCACUGACUGCGAGAAGCUGCAAGCAGAAGAUAAAUAACAGCAAGAGCUGCAGGAGAAGAAAUAAUGCCACAUUACAUCAAACAGGUCCCUGCUUUGCUGUCAGCUCAGAGUCUGUUCUGCACAAAAGGACAGGCUUGCCAUUUGGCCUGUAUAUUUUAUUAAUGUGGCUGCAUAUUUAUUGCACCAUGGGUUAGCCGAUCCUUUGGUGGUCAAUACCACCCUUUUAGGCUGCAGUUCUCAGCAAAGGCAUUUAUCCUGGCUGCUGCUUUUCCCCACGUGCAGUCAGCAAUGCUCUCAGGUGUCUGCCUGCAGGUGCUUUGCCCGCAGCAACAUUGCCAAAGUUUGGAAACCCAGUGUAACUCUCCACAAAAUACUGAAUGCAGUGGAGUCUUUAGACUGGCAUUAUAUGCUAAAAAUAGUAUUAAUAUCAGUCCAAUAGGCCUAUUAUUUACAUUUUUAUUUUGCAAGGCAUGACACUGCAGGCUUCAUUUUAAACACAAAUAAUGUCAGUGCAGGGAAAUAAGCAGGUCAUUACACUGAACAAAAUCAGAGAUUCUUUCAGGACCUGAUCCUAAUCAUAAUAUGACCAAGGGGAAGACUACCUAUGACUUUAUUGUAUUAGCUUUCUAAUGUUCAUGUUCUCUGCUAAUAAACAUACACAUCUUGAUUUAAGAACUCAAGGUUAUUUGAUAUUUUCACUCUUAAUCCAGCUAACUUGCUUACAUUAGGUACAAAUGAUAACGACUAAGCUUGAAUACUGGGAAUGUCACAGGUUCAAGGAGCUGGUUAGCUCUGCCUGGACCAAAGCAGCAGCUCUGUAUGACCAAAUGGUAAUGUGACCUUUUCAAAUGAGCUUGAUUUGCUGCAAUCCAUUUAUUCAUGAAUGCCAUGGAUGGAUAUUUUUCAAACCUCAGUAGUUUGACAGUGCCAGGGCAUUACUGGCAGCCAAACCCUGCUUCUUGAUAUAGAGCAGCAAUGCUCUUUGGAAUUCCUCCGCCCUCUUGGCUCCCUAAAUUAUGCUAUUGAACAUAUGCUGCUAAGAGGAUCUCAGAGGGAUGUUCGUAUUAGACGGCAGGCUAAUUGUGGGAUUUGAGAGAUUUCAGAUGGCAAAAACUUUAAAAAGGAAGAUUAUCAAGGAUUAUACAAGAGAGAUGAGAUGUAAGACUGACCCUUUAUCCAAGAGUUGAUGCUGACUGAGAGAAAACAUUUGUUUCAGCAGGUGAAGACCCCACCUAAGAAGGGACAUAUAUGCAGAGAAAGAGGAGACUGGAUUUCUCUCAGUAAAUGAUAUAUAUGCCCUCCUUAUAAGCAAUACUUGGUGGCUCAGAUUAAUGGAAAUUCUUAUUCAGAGGAGUUUUCCAACACCCUACACAUGAAAAACUGCAAGAGAGCAUAGCCCAAUCUCCUCUGCAGGCACAGGUAACAGAAGCACAUGCAUCUGUCUGUAAUUUGGGUAAAGCAUGUAUUAGCAUUUAAAACACUGCAUUGCUCUAACAAGCAAGCUGGCACCACAUAGCUUAGGAAAUAGGAAGCUUCAUGCUACAGUCAGUGCUCAAAGUGCAAUGUGCUCUCAGCAAAGGCUGACUGCUUCCCUAGGGUGGCUCAGACAGUCCAGGAGGGCAGAAAAUGCAGCUACUUUCAUCUUCACCAGGCCCUCGGAAAGCAGCCCAGGCAGAGCACUGGGGAAACCUCUCUGCAAACAUCAUACAGGCCUAGGACAAAAUAAAGUUUCUUCUCUUUUAAAUUAAAUAAAUAAAUAAAUUAGUUGUUAGCCCUAAAAAAGGGAGCCCAGCAAGCUAUAUGAUGCAGAUAGAAACACUACUAAUAACUCACUGCAUGAUACAGCAACAACUCCAACCACUCCCUCAGACAACUGUCCUCAGUGAAGUUAAGAAUAGAUUUUUUUUCCAGUAAUUUAUAGGACACUUUCUCUAAAACAAAUGCACAGUCUAAUAGGAAAUCCUGUCCUUCCAAGAGACAGCCUGAGACAGAGCAGAGAUAGGCUUAUAGAGCUCCGCUUUCUCUCUCUCCUGAGUGGAGAUACGGACUUUGCAAGGGUCUGUUAUUUGGUUAUGUCUCACUCCCUGCGGCCCCUGGGCUGUGUAACUGAUUACUGGAGCCAGACUUUUGGGAGACAUGCUGCUGCUGUUGUCUAAGUAGCAGAAGAGACGUGAGUCCCUGGUAAAGCACUUACAAGGCUGAUUUAAACUUGGAAGGCACCCAGAUGUCUCAUGGAGGGGUGCAAUUUAAAACCCUACCCAAAGAUAGCCUUGACUACAAUCACGAAUUUCUGGGAAAUCAGCAUGGAACAGUUGCCUCAUGAGCCAGGCCCUGCAGACCUAUGUAUUACAGCAUUUCAAAAGGAGAGCUGGUGCCAUUCUGAGUUACCUCACUGAGAAAAAAAAAAUCAGCAAAACAAUUAGUGCAAACUGUGACUAAAUGAGCACUCCCUAGCUUACAGAGCUGUUGCAUGCUUACAGAGCUGCACCAGCAAGUCUCUCAGACUUUCCAAGAAUUCAAGUCCAGGAACAUUUAACAUCUCAGUCCCAAUUUCUUCCAACAGUGUUACCUGUUGAACAGAAAGGGAGCUCUCUGAGAAGACAUGGAAGGGCUGUAGUGCAGAGAAACCUUCAUUCCUCAAAUCAUAAAAAAGUGAAUAACAUGAGUACCUUGAUGUUAAAAACAAACUUUGUAGCUCUGCUACAGAAAGUCCUUUUAAGCACAGUAAAAACAAAGAACUUCUGGUUCUGAAUUAGCAGAUAUUGUGCUUGCAUUACAGCAAGGAGGAAUCUGAAAUUCAAGUCCAAGGCCUCUUCUGAAAACUACUACCAUUUUCUCUUGAGAAUCUAAACUGUCUUGGAUCAGUUCUGCUUCUAAAAUCUGGUUAUCUAUUUCCAAGUCAGCAAAUAAAAGCUGGCUGCAGCCAGCCGAAGAGCAGAGAUCAAAACCACCCUGCAAUUGAAAACAUAAAGGUGAGCUUGUCCAUCAGAAAAGGUGUCUUCCAAUUUACCCACCAGGUGAUCUUCCAUUUUACUGUCUAGGGCUACCCUUUGCUACUAUAACCUAACAAGCAGAAAAAAAAAAAAAAAAAAAAAAAAAAAAAAAAAAAAGGCUGAGGGAAGAAAGUACAACAGGGCAAGGAUUCAGGAGAAAGGCCGGUAAAUUUGAUCAGCUGCCUUCUGAAGUCUGCACAGGGAGUGUGUGCUGGCAAGUUGAGAAAUGCAGUUUUCCUGCAGGCAAACAAGACUCUGUGGACAUCCUUGGACUUUGAGGAUUUUGUGGCUAAACCCAUGAUGAACAAAUGGGGUAAUUAAUUUCCACUUAAAUUCUACCACUGAAAUAAAAUAAAACUAUCACUGAAAUAAAUGGGAUUCAUCUAUCUGAAUAUCCCUGAGGAUCUGAGUCUGAAUCUGGACCUGCAUGCGUGAGUCCAGGCUCUGAUUCAGCUGUUCUACCUCAAGGCACAUAAAAGCAACACCAAAGUUAAGAGCUGGGUCCGCCUGGGAUUUUCCUGCCCUCAGUGAACACGAUUGGGAUAAAUUAACCCUGUAGGGGAUAAUGAAGCGUGGAUCUGCUAUGUUCAACUCCCGCACCACAGAUUCUGCUGUUAAAGGGUAUUCUAAGUGAACUUAAAUACAGAGUAUUGAGUAGACAAGGAUUUCAGUCUGCUGUCUUCCAAGCCAGGCUAAGUCUGCCUGAGAUCAGCCCUUGCAUCAGCAACAUGACUACUGAAACAGAAAGAAAUUACUUUGGGUACAUCCAAGAUACAGUUUUCACUUUGCAAUAUUUGCAGGGAUUUCUUUCCCCUUUGCUGGAAUAGCCCCCAAACCUUCCAGUAUUAUAUUGGCAAAGCUCCCAAUGAAAUGAAUCAUGACUUUGCCUGAGUUAGUGCUCCAGGACUGAGCUUUGAAUUAUUAAAAGAGAAUGAUUUGUAAGAAAUUAUGUCAAUUUUCAAAACAGCCCAGCAAAUGUAGACAAAACCCGUUCUUUGAAACUAGUGGAAAGUAUGUGGUUGAACUCCCAGUCUGCUUUGAAAUCUCAGCACUAGCUUUUUAGUGAGAGGCAGUGCCUUUUAAAUCUCAUAUUUUAAUCAUCAUACUUCUUUACAAUGCAGAACUCUUGCCUUGCUGCUUUGGUUCAAAUACAACCUUCCCCAUUAUGAGCUUCACAGUGUAAGUGAGCCCCGUGUAUCACAAGCUGAUGCUCUCCUGGCAGGGAAGCUGCAGGCUUGCUCCUUUCCUUCCACUUGUAAAAUAAUCUGCUGUCAGAACAGGUAUGUGCAACCUCCCAGAGUGACCUGGUGAUAUCCCUCCUUGUUCCUACAUGGUACCUUGAGGGGAGUCAGAUUGCACACCAAAUAUUGCUUUAGGCAUUACAUUUGCAUUUUUAACAUUAGCCCCAGAUACAGCGGCAUUUCUUGCUCAUUGGGUAAUGAACUCUUCCCCAGGUUUGGGGUUUCAUCUGUGUCACCUGCACAGCCAUGCAAGCUGGUGUUGCAGUGACCCACUCCUCAUGCUUACUGAAUUCAGCAACACCGUGCACGCACACACACAAAAAUCUUGUCAGUGAUUCCUAGACUUUUGUCAUUUUUAAUAACAUUUUAAUUAUUUUAAAAUAAUAUUUUUAUAAUUAUUCAUAUCUGUCUUUGCAUAGGAUGUCUGAGUGCAGAUUAAUUGAGUGCACAGUUUAAUGAUUUUCUUUCUGUAAGAGGUAACUUUUUGGCUGCUGGCCUCGCUUCUUUUUAAGCUCAGUCUGAUGAAAUUCAGCUCUUUGCUUUACUGUAUCUGAUCACUGGAUGUUUGUUGUUGAAAGGCAGCUUCUGUCAGAGCUGAAAACACAACCACACAACGACAGAAUACAAACUGUAAAAUGAUGUGGAAGAAAAAGAUUAAUUUCUUCCCCUAGACAUUGCAAAGCCAUUACCUGUUUUUGAAUGACAUUUCCAAUUCUACACUGGGAACUGCUAAAGCAUUUACAUAAGAAUGCAAAAAUGCACACAUUAUCACUGCAGGAAGCACUUAAAAUUUAAGAUAAUUAUAUAGUAUGGAAACGAUUUCAAAGGACUCAAACAAAAUAACAACUAAUUCUAGAGAGUCACCCUUUAAGAUGAUUAUUACUCUGCACUACUGCUGAUCUCUCACUAAAAAAAAUCCUUCUCUUUACAAUUAUAUGCACAUUAUAAAUUCCUACUUUGUUCCUCCACCAUCAAGCUCCUACAGCUGCUGCUGAAAAAUUUGCAUUCUCUGAGAGCUUAACCAGAUAGCUGAAAUAGUCCCACUGUGAACAGAGGUACAACACAAUGUUGUCAUGCUCAGGAGCAAGAUUCCUCCACCCUUGUCUUAUGCCAGGCCCUCUGGUUUUAUAGCCACUUGGGUUGAAUCUGGGGCAGGAGCCUCAGGCAGGGGCAUGGGCCACGGGGACACCAGCAUGUCCUGUGUUGGAAAAGGGAGUUUGUGCCAACCCCACAUGCUUGCAGAUGCCAGCAGAGAGUUUGCAACAGGGAUGUGUGGAGGAUACCUCUGAGGGUAUUUCUCUGCUGUAUGAUGAAUGGCAGAAUAAGGCAUCCUAUGCUGCAGUCUGCAGCACAGGUUGUACAUACAAUCUCUAGCCCUGUGUUUCGGAGAAGCCCUCUCUGCCAUUCAUCAGUGCUGCUGGGCAUGCAGGGAGGGGAGCAGCCAGGAAACAGGGUGCUUACUCUUGCCUGUGCAAACCAAUAGAAAGCAAUAAAGAUUUAUUUGGUCAGCAGAUUUCCAGACAGAAAAUCACAUCUGAGGAAACCUGGACUGAGUUCCAGGUAGAAGUACAUAGAGGAAAACUUGCCUCACCAGCCUCUUUUCAUCCUCAAUUCUGACUCUCUCAAAGUCCAUUUUCCAUUCACUGUCGCUCUUGUUCCUGUUCCCUGCCCCAUUGCUGCAUUUCCUCUCUCUUUUCUUCUCCCACAGUGCCCCAGGGAAAAAAAAAAAAAAGAAAAAAAAAAAAGAAAAAGAGAGUGAGGGAGAAAAGAAAAAAUCUGCCUACUUCUUUUGCUGAAGGCAAACUCAACUGUGGAAAACCUUAUCUGCCAAACUCUAAUGUAUUUUUAUCGGACAUCUGCAAGGAGAGAUUUAAAGGAACUCACGCCAAAGUCAAACACUUGCUUCCCUAUUCCUCCAUCCAGAAAGGGCAAAAGUCCAUAAUGAAUUUAAAGCAGGUGAAAAUCCCUUGUAUCAGAUACUAUAGAGACACAAGGGACUUCCAUCCCAAGACUCAAUUCAGAAGUGUUUUCCAAGUCUAAUUAUUGGAAAUAAUUGCAGUGACAGAGAUGAAGCUUCCCCACAAACUUCAGCCAGAAGGGGAAGACUGAUAGGUUUUAAAUCUAGUAGUUAAAUUCUGACAAAGUGUGGAGCAGCUAAAAAUAGUAUCUGAUGAUGGGAAACAUCAUCCAACUUAUUAAUAGGUGGUGUUACCUGGGCUGCUGCUGACAUUUCACAUUACUGCCUCAAACAAACCAAAGCAUUGGAGGUCAGAACAAACCAGGAGUGUUUGCUUGGCAAUGGGGUUCCUGUGGAAAUUUAAUUAGGCUUGGACUAGAAAACAUUUCAUAUGGUGCUGGCACAGAUUCCCAUCUAUUAAAUAACACUUUGUAUGAGCAGAAUGUCACUAGCUUUUGCAAAACGCCUUAGAGAUAUAGAUAUAUGUGAAGCUUUAUCUGAUAACUGCGAGCAGGUCAACUUAGGGCAAUACAUAUUCACAACAGUUAUUUAAAUCAGCCAGAAUUACAGUUUUAAUUUUUCAUGGUCAGCUUGGCUAGCCUAGCUUUUGUACUCCUGAGACUAUUUCUGGUAAAGGAAAAAAAAAAAAAGACGACUCAUAUGCUUCAUGCACAGGCAGGGGUGGAUGAAAUGUUGUUUCCCUAAACACAGGAGUUUUUCUGGCCCCAACCCUUCCAAGCAGAAACUACUUUUCCUCCAGGUCACCCCCAUGGAACCAAUCCUGGUGCUUGUUCCAAGAUGGCUGAGAGUGCCCUGCUGUCCCUUCUCACUGCACCUGGUUCUUCUGCUCUCAUUUUGGUACAGAAACCAUCACAAACAGCAGGCCCUGCCAUGCCUGUACCCUGUGUGGCUCACUGCAAUGGGCAGCAGUGUGGGCUGCUACCAGGGCAGACCUUGUUCCUGAAACACCUCACCCCACCAAGAGCACGAUCAUCCCUCACAUGUUUCUCAGAUGAGAGAAGGCAGGAGUUGGUUUAUAAGCAAGCUUGCCAAACUUACUCUAAAAUGAAUUAUAAAAUUCUAGCUUAAACCAACCAGCUGCCUACCCAACAUCCAGAUUGUAAGGACCUGUCUAGACAGAGACGUAAUUAUACAGAAAACAAGACACUCUGUCUUUGCAGCAGAGCCCAUCUUUCAUGUAUAGUUGUCACUGAAACUGUACUGUCUUUGGAAAAGACAAAGAGGUGUGCCAAGUGAUGGUCUAGAUGUCAUCUUCUGGUGUGGACACAACCUCUCCUGACCUUUUGAAUCAGACAGCACAGUUUGGGGUCAGGACACUGUAACUGCCUAAUUCAAGCUUGCCACCUCCCAGUGUGGCCUUGGAUAAAUCUCUUCAUAACAGCCUCAUUUCUCAUAGAUGCACUUUGGGGAGCUACACAUACUCAAAUAAGCAAAGCACUAUAUCCAAUUUCUUAUUUUGUGAAACUACAGUGAUGACAGACAGGAGUAAUUAAUGUUUGCACUCCAUUGUGAAAAUGAAGACUACUAAAUAAUAUCUGAGUGUAAUCACAUGUACAUAGUCGAAGUGUUCUUAAAGAAAUGUUUUAAGAGAUUCAACUUUCCUGCUCCCAGCAGCUGCAGCCAGUAGUGAUACCAGCCAGGAAUGGAAAGGGCUGAAUUAUUUCUGCCGACUGAAAAUCAAAUUGUUUUAAAAAAUAAUUCACAUGAUUUGUAUCAGAAAAGCUUGUAAUCUAAAUAUCAAAUGAUGUAUAGCAUUGGCCAUCACUCUGAGUUUUAAUAUACCUCAAAAAUACUAUCAUAUAUGGUUCAGUGAUUUACUAAUAAGCUUGUUUUACAACACAGGGAGAGAUGCAAUGCACAACCAGUUUAACCUACUUCCCAGUUCUAAUUCUCUCCUACCAAAAAAACCCUCAAACACUUGGAAUCAAUUAUUUUUAAAGACCUAUCACAGCAUUAGAGAUCAAAACAACAGAAUUAGAGAUUUCUAACAGAAAGAAAGUAAAUUAUUUUUUUCAGACUAGAUGAACAACAGUAAGGAAUCUUGUUAGAAUGGGGAACAUACUACAUAAAACACUUAAAACCCAGCAGACAAUUCUUUGUAUUUUCAACAUCUUUAAUGUCUCACAUGUAACGUAAUGCUUAACAAAAAGACAGCUGAAGUACAUUUUUGUUUUCAGCAGCAGUUUCAGCACUUGAGAUAAACUUCUGGAAACAAUGCAGUGGUUUUUGAAAGUGAUUCUCUUGGUUGGAGGCUCAGAUCCCUGCUUCCUAUCUUGCUGUUGGAAAUGGGACUUGUCUGCCAGGAGCACCUCCCAGUGCUCUGAUAUUUCCUUAUAAACCUUUUCAUGAAGGAGGAAAUGGAAACCAGGUUCUUACAUGUUUUGCCCAAGGCUAACGAGGAAUUUAUCUCCCAUUGUGGAUUAAAACCCAAGAAUGCUUCUUACAUACCACUGCAUUUAGCACAGACUUUUCCUGUCUCCCCUGACUCCACCAAGCUCUCCUGCUCAUUGAGACAAAGAUCAGUUUGCAGUGUCUUGGCCUACUGUUUUUUAAAUCCACACAAAGUCCUCGUGCUCUCAUUACUAUAUCUUUCUACAUUGUUAAAUCUGCUAAAUCUUUUGCCUUUUUCUCUAUACUUUUCCACACUCACCCUUGGUAGGAUGCACACAGUAUUUAGCUAGGACUAGAGGAACAGCAUCCCAUCUCCAUUUCACCCAAGGGGUAUGGACACAUCUCCCUUUUACAAAGCCAAAGGCACAAGAGUAACUGAGGGUCCAAGCAACAGUCAAGGGCUGCAAGACUUCCCCUGGCAAAUAGGAGACUCCCUCUGUAUUUACAUGUACAUUGUACCUAUGUUCACCUUUCCAUCAUACACUUACAGUUGAAACAGGUUCAUUGUCCUCCAACUUCUUACAAAAGGUGUACAGGGGUAUCUGUAAACUGACACUUCUGCAACUUGAUAAUCAUUUCCUGGAGUGAGAGUUUCUGUAACAAGAUCCUGCUGGCCUCUGCCUGGAAGAGGGCAGGGUAACAGUGGGAUAUGUUUUUACCUGAUAAACCUUGUUUCACCAGAGGCUGGUGGCACUGUACUAACCUCUCAGUGUUGGCAAACCAUUGGCAUGGGCGCCUGGUUGACAUCAAAAGAAAGCUGGCUACUCUAGCAGCAAGGUGCUACCAUGGUGUUAAAAAUUAAUUAGGUACUGUGCCCUAGGAAGCUUCUCCAUCCCUGGCCAAAAAGAUUUCCUGAUGGUCUGCUGGUGAGCACUAUAUACUAGUAAAACACGGUUAAAAUGCAUCAGCAACUGCAUGCUGCACCAAUUACAGUACAUAGCUACAAGUAAGUCAAGUAAGUUAUUUGUGUAAUUACAAGGAACUGAUCCCUGGGGGUCAUGCAAAUAAUUCAGUAUACUUGCUAAAAAUGAGCUUUCUGAGAACAUUUACACUGGUAUAAUCUGACGGGAUGCAGAAUUCUGGAAAAUAAAUGCCAAAGGGGAUAAGAACACAGCUAAAGCUAAUUUAUUUUUUAAAUCAAAUGAAUAUUCACUGUCCCACCCCUCCCCCUGUAUUUGCUCAGCUUUAAUGAAUAGAUUCUUCUUCACUUUGGGCCUUUUCAUUUUGGGGCAUAUAUCCCAGGUUGGGGAAUGUUAUCCAAAGCUCAGCAGAACUGCCACAGAGUGAAGAGUAGCACACACAAAAGUAGCUACACCAGUUCGCACGCAGGAGACACUUUUGCCUAUUACCUGAAUGGACAGCCUUUUCAGGGAGCUUCUGAAAAAAUAACCUCUGUUAUUAAUUUAAUCACCUUGUGUCAAAUGGUGGAGUGACAAGAGAGAAAAUUUACCUCAGCAAUAACUCAGCUCUAGAGGUAUAUACAGAGGAGAAGGAAAUUGGGUUGUUGCGGAUAUAGCAAUAACAUCACAAAGCAAAAUCCAAUAUUGGAAGAGAUAAAAGUUUCCCAUCCCAAUAUUCCUCAGUGACAAGUAUGAAAGAGUAUGCAUAAGAACAAGGGAAAAAGAUGAAAGAUAGCACCAGAAAAAAAAAAAAAAAAAAAAAAAAAGCCUUUGUAAAGUGAGCUAACAGGUAAUUAAUCCCUCAAAAGCAAGAAGAUCAGAGCAUUUGGGAAACUGGCACAGAUACCGAUCUCAGUAACAUAUGCUUUGGGUUCUCCCCAUUUCGUUUUGCUAAAUGUUCUGCAAAGGUGAUUCAGAGAUCCCAGCCAAAGGGCUGCCUCCUCCCACCAGCUGAGCUCCCCCUGUUCCCAGCAACCCAGAAAAAUAACAGGUAAAUGGGGGCAUGCGGGGUAUCACGGUGGCAGUGAUGCUGACAAGGCAAGCCAGAAACAGAAUGUGUGUAUCAGUGACAUGUUUCCUAACAGCAAUGACAGAUUUUAAUAAGCAAGUUAUUCUUAAGUUUUGAUUUGAGGUGUAUAUAAUUAGGUAACGUGGGCGUUGAGUGAUAAAACCCACAAGAAAAAACACAAAUUAGAAACACUGGUUCUUUGAAACCACUGCCUAUUUCACACUAAAUGGCGUGACCUAUUUUUAUUGUAUUAUUGCAUUUGAGAAAUAAAAGGAAAUAAAAUUCUUUUUCAUCUCUCUUUCAGCAUCAGAAAGAUAUACCAGGAACAAAUGACGCUGCUUUUCCCAAAACUGCUCUUUCAAAACUAAAGAACCAUCAUUUGUGGUUUGAUUUCGUUAAUUGUUAACUGACUUCUUCCCAGGAGCUGCAGGUGAGAUCUGCCUCACCAUUUCCAGGCUUUCUGGUGAUCACUUUCACAAAACUAGCUACAAAUAUAGCUAACUAUUGCCUUGCUUUGGAUUUGAAUAAGAGGGAAAAGUAGAAAAACUUUAUGCUGAUCAAAAGCAAGAGUUUACAAUGAGUUUCAGGAGAAUCCUUUUGAAGGAAAUAUGGCUGAUGAAAAAAAUAAGAGAUUUUUUGAUCUACUCUGAGCUUUUAAGCAUUUGCAUAUGUGGCAGGAUGUUUCAUGUGCUGUAAAUGAGAAAUGCCUAGGACAACUUCCUAUACAGAUUUCAAAAAGUCAUGCUUCUUACCAUCAUCACUAACAGGCUGAACAUCAAGAAUCAAUAGAACUGUUGUACAAAAUAUGUACUUCUAAGUAUCUCAGAAAUGUAAUCAAUUUCCUUUUAAAUAACCUAGACUAUCUUUGUUAAAUUUAUAAAGUGAAGAACUCCAGUGUGCAGGACAGUGCCUCAUUCUAAUAUCUUCACAGCCUUUCAUAUAGGCUUCCACUGGCCAUUAAUUUGUCCAAGAGAGCAAGUUAUCUUUCAGCCACCUGAAAGUUAUGUAAAGACACAUCUUUAUCUACAGUGCUUGUUAUGAGCAAAAGCACAGUGUUAUUAUUUCCCAAGAAAUCCAGUCCAUCUACUGAGGAUUACCAAAGAUAGUUGCUGUUAUUGAACGCAGUAGAUCUAUUAUAGAUCUUGGGAAACAAUUUGUCCUUGACACACACCCCACACAAAAACACUGACCAACCUUAUCCAAGUUCUGCUCAGUUUGUAUUGUAGUUUCACCCCAAAUACAAAAAAUUAAUUCCCAACCAUGACGGCUCCAGAUACCAGCAAGUGAUUUUGACCCCAGGGCAGAAGCCAGCAUGAGGCGCCUACUCAGCAUGUGGCUUUCUGCUGCUGCCCUGUCCCCAGCCAGUGCAAAGCACACAAACCAUGAGCUCCGAUGAGAACUGCAGACCCCUUCAUAGACUUCUCUGAAGCCCAAGUGCUCCACAAAAACUGCAAGAAAAAGCACACAAAAAAGUGCUCCAUCCAUUUUUGUGAUGCCUCUAUCAAAUGAUAAAAGAUUAUUAGAAAUAAUAUAAAUGAAUUCAGUUCCAUAGGAAACACCAAGCCACCACAAGCCACUACAAAAUCUGUUCUUAUUUCAAAUCAACACAAAAAUAAAAUAAAAUAAAAUAAAAUAAAAUAAAAUAAAAUAAAAUAAAAUAAAAUAAAAUAAAAUAAAAUAAAAUAAAAAUAAAAACCCUUGAUCUUUUCACAAAACCCAUUAUCAGAAAUCAUCUCUUGAUGUUCUUAGAAUUCUACACUCAGGGUAUUAUACAACAUGAAAACUGAAAUUAUAAUGUUGAAAUGUUUUUAAGCCACAAUACAAUAUUUUGAAAAUCUUCCAACAGAAAUUUUAGAAAUCAAAACUUCCAGUUUUUCUUCUGAAUUCAGUCAUCUCUCUCCUACGAUUUUUCUCCUGAAGUCUUUGGUUAUCCUUAUGGAUGAACAGCCCUGUUUUAUAGAUGUUUUUAUAUAGCACCUCAUACAGUGGAUUCCUGAUCCUGGUUCCUCAAGUAUCUUCCUAAAGCUGUCAUCUAUUUGGAUUUGUAAGAGCAGUGACUGAUAAGAAUAAGAAAAUAAGACCAUCAUCAGCAAGAACUUAGUGGGAAUGCUAUACUUCUAUACUUCCAAAUGAAGGCUGUUUAGUCUCAUCUGUUUCUUCCUGGCUAACAGUGAGCUGUAAUACUUCUUGAUUCUAUCUUUCUUGUUUGGAUUUUUUUUUUUCUUUGGGGGGGAGGGGGGGGAGAGGGUUGGGGGGAGAAUGGGAGGGUGUGGAUGGAAGCCUUUUAUUUUUAUGACCUGAAGAGCGAAGUAUCAGUGUUUUCACUGACACCAAAGCUAUGAUGAACUCAAGAACAGGCAUCUUUUCAAGUAACCUGCACUUUUUUUUUUCUUUUUGAUUCACUGCCUUUAUAUUUAACAAACAAUUGCAGCUGUCUUGAAGGGAGAAGACCCUUUUGACCCACUUGGGAACCUACUGCGUGCAAGCAUUGGGCUUAAACUUCUGCCAUAUCCAGACAGCCUUCGUGACCUUCGCUGCUACUCCUGCAAGAUGCACGCUGAUGGGAUGAUGUUGUAAGUAAGCCAGGAGCAGUAGGAAAUGGACUGCUAAGUGUCUCAUUAAGUUCCAUUAAGGGGUCUAACCACUACCCUUGGAUUGACUGUCAGAAGGAAAACAUCUGUUUUAUUUAAUGAUUUCUACUGAUGCUAUUCAGAUCCCAGCAAGUUUGAAAUGUUGCCCCUUAUGCACUUACAGCACAUUUCCCAAUUAAGAGUGGAACGGUUCUUUUUAUAGUAAAGUGGGAGAUUUGCAGUAACUACUGUAACUCAAUUGUAGGGAAGAUCUCAGGGGCUUGAUUAACUUUUUUAUUGCAAAAAUCAAUCCUGGUAAGAAAAAGCAAAGUCUUAACUCCUACAGCUGUUUACCAGAUGAGCUCUGUCCUAGGUAUGACUUUUCUCAGUCCCACCCACAGCACAUCACUAGAAGAUUACAAGAUGUGUCCAGAGGCUCUGUGUACAUAAAUGGAGCCACUUAUAAUCAUAACUGGGGAAAAAAAGGACAGAUUCGCCAAAUUACUUGCAAAGAGACUGACCUAGAAGGGUAAAUAUAUUGUUUGAUAUGCAGGAAGCUGUUUCCCACAGAAAAACACUUUCAGGGAGGUUGUAACUUAACCCUUAUCACUUUUCAACAUAAAAAGAAAAUGCUUUUACCAGCUAAUGGUUCAGAAAAGUGCAUGAGUGGUUAGUGUAACCACAACAACAUAUUCAGAAGCAGUGAGACAGAAAAUGAAAUGCCUGAUAAGCAUAUGUUGUUUUUAAUAAAGAAAGAUUUAGUGCUAAGUGGACCACACCGUCUCCGAGGUUACGCUGCAAAAGCAGAACAUGGGAGGACUCAGCACCCUCAGAAAACGCUGCUGUGGCCUGGCUCCACCACCAACCACUGCGCAGCCUUAGUCUUCAGCCCCUAUGCCUCUUAUCGCCUGGUGCAAAACAGAGCUGAAAAUUUGCCUUUCUCUGCCUUGCCUCUGUUAAACCGCUCAGUUCUCACAGACACAGCACGAGGCCAUACCAUGUUCAGUGCUUAAUGUACUCUCCAGGUAUUUAGGACUAAGAUUAUUUAGUCAGAACAGAGAUUUGGAAAGACAAUUUUGUUCUGGCCUUGCAUUAAUUGUUUAUUUAUUACAUGGUUAUGCUGGAUAUGUGUUAUCAAUAUUCAGGUCUGAAUGCACCAGGUGCAGACAUACUGAGGACUGACGGCAAUUUAUUUUGUAAAUGGCUGAGAUAAGAUUGGAGGAGAAGGAAUACCUUCCAGGUGGCUGUGUGUCUCAAGCACAAUGAAUCAGCCAGCAGCACUUAAAAAUUGUUCCCAUGUAAUUCUGGAGAAGGGCAGGAGGCUGGCCCUCACCACCCAGCCACUCAGCUGCUCCCCACUGCCAGCAAGUGACAUGCACACAAGGUGGAUUUCAAGUGCUCUUUACCUUACCUGAAGUCCAUUUUAGGCAGGGCCUAGAAACACCCUGUUUACAGGGUACCCUGCAGUUGAAAUAAACAAACAAACACCUUUCUUGCUACAGUGAAACCUUGUUAGACCCUGGUCAUGGCACUAUUCCUAUGACACCACAUCUAAACCUGGAGAGAAUAAAUUGGUGGGCAGCCUAGGCCAGCCUAAGGUUGUCUGGUCAUGAUGUAAGACCCUCCUGCAUUUGUCUUUCAUUCUUCUGCCUGGAAUAGGUGGGUAAGGUUCCCACUCGGUGCAAACUAUAAGCAGGCAAUAUCUAGAGUCAUAAUCAGUUCCCAUGGCAAGUGAGACCUCAAAUGGACCUGAGUCAACACAACCACUCCAGGAACAGCCAGGCAACGAAGCAGCUCCUUGUCCUGGUUCAACUACCACCAACCUACUUACACACUUCCCUGGAGCACAAUUUGUUCCUCCUUGGGAAUGGUUAUAAGAAACAUAAAGCUCAGCUAAAAGUUUGUAUGGGAAUAAGAAUCCAGCUCCAGAGCAAUCAUUACUACAUCUCCAAUGAGCCUAAUGAGCAGCAGAAUACAAACAGCAACAAGCAUAGACGACCAAAUUCACAAAGAAAAAAAUAAGUUGCCUCAUUUAAAUGAGCAAAUCACCGUUAUUAAAUUACCGCCUUCUCUAGAUCGUGCUGAGCUGAUUUAACCACACCAAAAUAUGCACUGUUAAUAUAACAGGAAUAAGUAUAGGACUUUAAUAAAUGCUGGGUUUCUCUGAGCACUCAUAUCCAGCUGAGAAAUGCUAACUCAUGUUUUUGCUUAACCUUGACGCUUGGACCCCACUUUUAAGGAAGCACAAAAGCAACUGCUGCUUUCACAAAAUCAACUCUCUGAUAAGGUGUUGCAGGUUCCACACCAUUUCCUGAAGGGGAGAUAAGAAGAGAACAUGGAUACCUCACAUCCUGAGCAAUGGUGACUCAGAAAAUCCAUCACUGGGUACAAAACAUACAGAUUCAGGCAAACUCUUCAGUUGAUACUGAAAAGUAGUUCUAGGUGGGGGAGGAAAAGUAUUUUAAAGUCCCACGUAAACAAAGAACAAGAUGUACUUAAAAAUAUGUAUUGAAUCUAUGGUUAUGUCUUUGUCUUCCUUGAUUUAAGGGCUAGACUCCUGCAGCUCAAUAGGUCAGACCAGAGGUCAGACAAAAGCACUCUGGGCUCUAACAGUAGCUUCUGCAAGAUGCUAGAUCAUCAUUAGUGGAGUCACACCAAGGACCAGAGGAAUGUUACCCAUGCUGACAAGGACACAGACCCACAAAGAGAUUAACCCUGCUGGCACCAAUGGCACAGCAUGUGUGGAGGUCACUAGGACAUGUCGGGGACAACCUACAUGUCUGAGUGCUCCCACGUAGACAAGCAUUGUAAGGGACUCCCUGCUUCUGCCUACUUAGAGCACUCAUUCUUCAUGGUGGGACCAGAGGGACUGGGUGUACAGAGCUCUGGAAAUCAGGAUGUAAACUCUGUGAGGGCUUGGAGAUGCAGGGCCUGCCUUCAGUGCAAGAUUCAGCUGAGGAGAGCCAGGUCUCAGCUGCCUGGGGCAUUGCAAGCUGUCCACAGCAUCCCUACCUCCUAGUUGCUGCUUCCCAUCUGAUAAGAAAUAACAGCGAUUUUCCUGCAGGUUUUAAAACUUCUUCAUUGAAAACUACAAAAUUGGAGACAAAAAACUUCUGAAGUCUAAAUCGUCUGCUACCAUGGACUAACACUUUGUAAAACUCAUAAAAGGAACCUCACCAUCAAAUGUGACUUGGUUCACCUGCAGAGCUGAGGGGAAGGCUUGAUUGUGUACCUAAUUUAGGUUGUUGGAAACGGUUUCUAUGCUAACCUUCUAUAAUCAUAUUUCACACCACUUUGACAAUUUUAAAUGUUUUCCACUGCUGCUAAUACUUUCCUUCUUGCUGUUAAGCUCCAUGCAAAAAUUUCUGGAAAAUUUCAACAUGCACAUCCAAAUCAUAUUCAAAUUGAGAAAAAUCUGAAAAGUGUGCAUUUCUCCACAUAAAACCACCCCCAAAAUAUCUUCCUUUGCUUUCAACGUUACUGAAUGUUGUAAAUUCAUGAAGACAAUAGGAAACGUGGGCCCAUUUAGUCCUCAUUACUAAUGUCUGCAUUUGCCUGGCUCAUCCAUGCAGACUUCAUGUGUCAAAGGGUUCAGCUUGCAGUAUAUAAACUUUCCCCACCACUAAUUAAUUUUCCCCAACACUUAUUUUCCCGUGUAAUCUGCUACAUGAAAAACAAAACACACUGCCACCAAACAAGCAAACAAAAAACAUAUACUUUGCCCAGUUACACUUAGUUAAGAAUAAUCCAAUCUCAGAGAUGAUGGAUGACUUGUACGAUCUUUAAUAUACUUGCCCUAUAUCAUAUUUUAUAUGAUUUUUCUUUCUUCCUUUCCCUAUUUCUGCUGCUUUCUUUAUUCCUUUCUCUCUCCUCUCUUAUAGCCUGGCUUUCCCCUUUGGCAAUUCUCUGCUCUGUUUCCAGCCUUAUUUUUAUCAGUGGAUUUUUCCAUGGCUCAUUUUUUUGGCCCCUUGAAGAAAAUAAAAAACCUAAUCCCCAUGUCCCAGUAAGACUUUCAGACUUUGAAAGCUCCUACACCUUUGGUAGAAAGCAGCACACUUUUUGCCCAUUUUCAAACAUUUUCUUUAACAAGCUGAAUUUCAAAUAAAAAUGACAUUGCUUAAAUGAUACCGUUUCUUUCUCACACAGAUCAUCACAUUCCUAAGCAGUUCAUCCAAAGACUUUGCAAAGGCAAUUCAAGCACAUCCUUUUACCUGGGGGGAAAGGACUGUUAUUUCCCAGAGGCAAACACACUCUGAUGUUAAUUUAAACAAAGCUCAUGAAAAAGUGUGCUCUGCUGUGAACGGUUAAGGAUCACUAGGGCCUAUACCGCACAAGAUUCCUAGCUAUAGCAAUUUAAAAUUACCCCAGAUAUGUAUGAUUUGAGUUGAAUAUGCAUUGCCUGCCACCCCCACUCAAACUGAAAAUGGAUUUCUUUGUAAUAAAUGCCUGUUUUAUGUGGAGUGAUUGGAAAAGAAAAGCCCUUCCUAGCUAUGGUGUUCUCUAAAGCAAGUGGGAGGAGAAAAAUGUUUGUAAACUUCUUUUGUUCCAAAAUGUGAAAUGCAUUUUGUCAUUUUUAUAUUCAAACCUUCGUAUGGGCUCUGGCAAGUUUUGAACCAGGCCUGUAAAAGGUUCUGUGAGCAAGAGGGAGUGGGUAAUGAGAAUGAAAUCUACCCUCCCUGUUGAAGAGGUGGGGAAGAAGAAAUGUGAUAAAUAAAAGAUUGAGAAAAGUGGACACAAAAAGACAGGAAGUGAAGGGGAAGUGACAGGAUGAGCUAGUUGUAGUAAAAAUUGUCAAGGUAUUAAAAAAAAAAAAAAAAAAAAAAAAAAAA
Molecule: long non-coding RNA, 21081 nt
Organism: Anas platyrhynchos (mallard)
Lineage: Eukaryota; Metazoa; Chordata; Aves; Anseriformes; Anatidae
Source: RefSeq, a predicted model, not a curated record